GCAAACUUGGUCAUUUAGAGGAAGUAAAAGUCGUAACAAGGUAACCGUAGGUGAACCUGCGGUUGGAUCAUUACUGAAGUUUAUGGUAUGAACGGUCGUUCAACCAACUCCUAUGUGAACUGUUAUUACUCUUUUGGUGGCCCACAAAACAUGUCGGCGUGUCUUCAUAUGGUUACUCACUCGACCGAAAGGGGUUUGUGAAUUGGCUAUGUAAGGACACGACUUCGGGCCACCUGACUGCGUUAAAUCCUUGUUUUUUAUGUAUUUUUUGUCUAUUUAUGAUUCGUGAUGCGAAUGCUUAUUAAAACAAAAACAACUUUUGACAAUGGAUCUCUUGGCUCUUGCAUCGAUGAAGAACGCAGC
RNAcentral lists this unclassified non-coding RNA (363 nucleotides) under uncultured fungus. RNAcentral describes it as "partial contains small subunit ribosomal RNA, internal transcribed spacer 1, and 5.8S ribosomal RNA". The stretch from base 1 to 73 matches the Rfam family "Eukaryotic small subunit ribosomal RNA", at positions 1759 to 1831 of the family's 1831-position model. Lineage: Eukaryota; Fungi. The record is from RNAcentral.